AUGAACGCUGGCGGCAGGCCUAACACAUGCAAGUCGAACGGAGUUAUAUUGUAGCUUGCUAUGGUAUAACUUAGUGGCAGACGGGUGAGUAAUGUAUAGGAAUCUACCUAGUAGUACGGAAUAAUUGUUGGAAACGGCAACUAAUACCGUAUACGCCCUACGGGGGAAAAAUUUAUUGCUAUUAGAUGAGCCUAUAUUAGAUUAGCUAGUUGGUGGAGUAAUAGCCUACCAAGGCAAUGAUCUAUAGCUGAUCUGAGAGGAUGAUCAGCCACACUGGAACUGAGAUACGGUCCAGACUCCUACGGGAGGCAGCAGUGGGGAAUAUUGGACAAUGGGCGAAAGCCUGAUCCAGCCAUGCCGCAUGAGUGAAGAAGGCCUUUGGGUUGUAAAGCUCUUUUAGUGAGGAAGAUAAUGACGGUACUCACAGAAGAAGUCCUGGCUAACUCCGUGCCAGCAGCCGCGGUAAUACGGAGAGGGCUAGCGUUAUUCGGAAUUAUUGGGCGUAAAGGGCGCGUAGGCGGAUUAGUAAGUUAAAAGUGAAAUCCCAAGGCUCAACCUUGGAAUUGCUUUUAAAACUGCUAAUCUAGAGAUUGAGAGAGGAUAGAGGAAUUCCUAGUGUAGAAGUGAAAUUCGUAAAUAUUAUAGGAACANCNGGGG
RNAcentral lists this ribosomal RNA (657 nucleotides) under uncultured bacterium. RNAcentral's name for it is "bacterial SSU rRNA". It matches the Rfam family "Bacterial small subunit ribosomal RNA", at positions 29 to 715 of the family's 1533-position model. The record is from RNAcentral.